This 497-nucleotide ribosomal RNA is filed under the name Gephyromantis enki. RNAcentral's name for it is "partial 16S ribosomal RNA". It matches the Rfam family "Bacterial large subunit ribosomal RNA", at positions 1932 to 2597 of the family's 2925-position model. The record is from RNAcentral. Lineage: Eukaryota; Metazoa; Chordata; Amphibia; Anura; Mantellidae.
CGCGGUACCCUAACCGCGCGAAGGUAGCAUAAUCACUUGUUCUUUAAAUGAGGACUCGUAUCAAUGGCACCACGAGGACUUUACUGUCUCCUUUUUCUAAUCAGUGAAACUAAUCUUCCCGUGAAGAAGCGGGAAUAAAUAGAUAAGACGAGAAGACCCCAUGGAGCUUUAAGCUUACUGCACCUCUAUUUUCUAUAACCUCUUAUUAAACGGAAUACUGCUUACUUAGCUUUAGGUUGGGGUGACCGCGGAGUAUAACAUAACCUCCAUGAUGAACAAAACUAUUUUCUUAUCUAAGAACAACAGUUCUAAGAAUUAGUAUUCUAACAUAAAAUGAUCCGAUAAUCGAUCAACGGACUAAGUUACCCUGGGGAUAACAGCGCAAUCCAUUUCAAGAGCCCCUAUCGACAAAUGGGUUUACGACCUCGAUGUUGGAUCAGGAUAUCCUAGUGGUGCAGCAGCUACUGAAGGUUCGUUUGUUCAACGAUUAAAAUCCU